GCAACGAGCGCAACCCUUGUGUUUAGUUGCAAACAGGUCAAGCUGUGCACUCUAGACAGACUGCCGUGGACAACACGGAGGAAGUGGGGAUGACGUCAAAUCAUCAUGCCCCUUAUGAUCUGGGCUACACACGUGCUACAAUGGCCGGUACAACGGGCAGCGAAGGAGCGAUCCGGAGCGAAUCCUAAAAAGCCGGUCCCAGUUCGGAUUGCAGGCUGAAACUCGCCUACAUGAGGUUGGAGUUGCUAGUAAUCGCGAAUCAGAAUGUCGCGGUGAAUGCGUUCCCGGGUCUU
RNAcentral lists this ribosomal RNA (293 nucleotides) under uncultured Fusibacter sp. RNAcentral's name for it is "partial 16S ribosomal RNA". It matches the Rfam family "Bacterial small subunit ribosomal RNA", at positions 1089 to 1382 of the family's 1533-position model. The record is from RNAcentral. Lineage: Bacteria; Bacillati; Bacillota; Clostridia; Eubacteriales; Fusibacteraceae.